UACGUAUGGUGCAAGCGUUAUCCGGAUUUACUGGGUGUAAAGGGAGCGCAGGCGGCACGGCAAGCCUGAUGUGAAAGCCCGCGGCCCAACCGCGGGACUGCAUUGGGAACUACCGGGCUGGAGUGCCGGAGAGGUAGGCGGAAUUCCUAGUGUGGCGGUGAAAUGCGUAGAUAUUAGGAGGAACACCAGUGGCGAAGGCGGCCUACUGGACGGUGACUGACGCUGAGGCUCGAAAGCGUGGGGAGCAAACAGG
Molecule: ribosomal RNA, 253 nt
Filed under: uncultured bacterium
Lineage: Bacteria
Description: partial 16S ribosomal RNA
Rfam family: Bacterial small subunit ribosomal RNA
Source: RNAcentral